UGAAAGUCUGUUCUUGGUGUCCUUUUAGAAU
This 31-nucleotide non-coding RNA is filed under the name Mus musculus (house mouse). Lineage: Eukaryota; Metazoa; Chordata; Mammalia; Rodentia; Muridae. The record is from RNAcentral.